Molecule: ribosomal RNA, 404 nt
Filed under: uncultured prokaryote
Description: bacterial SSU rRNA
Rfam family: Bacterial small subunit ribosomal RNA
Source: RNAcentral
UGGGGGAUAUUGCACAAUGGGGGAAACCCUGAUGCAGCGAUGCCGCGUGGAGGAAGAAGGUUUUCGGAUUGUAAACUCCUGUCUUUGGGGACGAUAAUGACGGUACCCAAGGAGGAAGCUCCGGCUAACUACGUGCCAGCAGCCGCGGUAAUACGUAGGGAGCAAGCGUUGUCCGGAAUUACUGGGUGUAAAGGGAGCGUAGGCGGGAUGGCAAGUCAGGUGUGAAAACUAUGGGCUCAACUCAUAGAUUGCACUUGAAACUGUUGUUCUUGAGUGAAGUAGAGGUAAGCGGAAUUCCUGGUGUAGCGGUGAAAUGCGUAGAUAUCAGGAGGAACACCGGUGGCGAAGGCAGCUCACUGGGGUACAACUGACACUGAGGCUCGAAAGUGUGGGUAUCAAACAGG